GAUGAACGCUGGCGGCGUGCUUAACACAUGCAAGUCGAACGGUGAAGGCGGAGCUUGCUCUGCUGGAUCAGUGGCGAACGGGUGAGUAACACGUGAGCAAUCUGCCCCUGACUCUGGGAUAAGCGCUGGAAACGGCGUCUAAUACUGGAUACGAGCUGCGAAGGCAUCUUCAGCAGCUGGGAAGAAUUUCGGUCAGGGAUGAGCUCGCGGCCUAUCAGCUUGUUGGUGAGGUAAUGGCUCACCAAGGCGUCGACGGGUAGCCGGCCUGAGAGGGUGACCGGCCACACUGGGACUGAGACACGGCCCAGACUCCUACGGGAGGCAGCAGUGGGGAAUAUUGCACAAUGGGCGAAAGCCUGAUGCAGCAACGCCGCGUGAGGGACGACGGCCUUCGGGUUGUAAACCUCUUUUAGCAGGGAAGAGGCGAAAGUGACGGUACCUGCAGAAAAAGCGCCGGCUAACUACGUG
Molecule: ribosomal RNA, 468 nt
Filed under: uncultured bacterium
Lineage: Bacteria
Description: partial 16S ribosomal RNA
Rfam family: Bacterial small subunit ribosomal RNA
Source: RNAcentral